GUUUCUUCAAAAAAAAAGUAAUUGUUGAAUAUUUAUUAUAAGGGCAUAAAAAUAAAACAAUGAACCAACUAAAUUUUAUAAAUAGUAAGUAGCCUAUAUAUUGCGACAUCUCAAAAUGGAAAAUCAGCCUAUAACUAUAGGACGGAGGGAGUAUAACAUAUGACCCCAUCAUAGUUAUGCAUGUAUUCUCCAAAUCUUAAUGUGUACAUACAAUCACAUAAAGUAUUUAAAUUAAUCACUUACCGAAAAAAGAAUUAGCCCGAGAUUUGUUUUUCUCUUCUGUUUCUCUCAGUUACUACUUCUCCCUCUCUCUCUUUAUCCCGGUUAAGCGGCAGCCUCUUCCCCUUUUUUUAUAUAAGAUGAAUAAUGGUUUGAGUACAUUAUAGGGUUUAUGUUUUAGUCAUUUAAAUACAUUUUAUUGACUCUCAUAAUUUUAAUAGGAUUAAAUAGUAUAAAAUGUUGUAACUCGUUUCAUAGUUUGAUACAAAAAAAUAAUAUUACCGCUUGAAUCGAAUGGUUGAUCACUCUUUUCUUAAGACUAUAUUCGCUCUUUAUUUUUGUUACACAAUGUUAUUACGAAUUAGUCUCCCAAGAUAAGACAAAAUCUCCCAAGAUAAGACAACCAUAUUUUACUUUGUACUAGAAUUUAUUGUGUAGAAACAAAUAUAGUGCAAAACUAUAAAUGAGAGGAGAAAAUUAUAGCAACAAAAAAUAUUAGAAUGGUAUUUUUUCUAAAAACUUGAGAAGGAUUUGGAAUAAUUUUUAAGUACCAAACUUGGGUGGAUUUACAAUCUAUUUAUAGAUUUCCAUGUACCCUUUUGAAAAGAUACAUAUCCUUUUGAAGAGAUGCAUCCCUUUGAAAAUAUAUUUUAAAUAUUAGAGAUAUAUUCCUUUGAAAUGAUAUGUUGAACCAUUGUAAUGAAACAUCAACUAGUAGUGAGAGUUUACUUCAUUCUUGGGCUGACACUUUGACCUUUGUAACCAGCAGAACAGUCUAUGCACUCAAAACUCUAUAAGAGACUAGUUCUUACUUAUAGAAAACUAAGUUCAAAGUGAAUGAAUGCUAAAGGGAGAAGAGUAAUAAUACUCACCAAAGCAAUUGAGAGAGAGAGAGAGAGAGAGAGAGAGAGAGUUCUUUGCUUUGGUGCUGACUUAACUUUUAUUCUAGAACAGUUCCCUGUAAGAGUCGUAACAAGUCAGAAGAACUGGGAUAUAGGUUUGCUCAAUAAAAAUAUCUGAUUCGUCUUAAAAAUUUAAUCAAUUAAAUAGAAAACUCAACUCUAAUCAGUAUCAACUUUCAAAGCAUAAAAAGUCAUAAACCAUUGAAACAUCAUCCAUCUGAAGCUACAAAUUUUCUUUUCGAUAUCAUUUAUUUAUUUAGAGAGAGUAACCAUGCAUAAUCUUACAUAAAAUUUAAUUCAGAAGAACAGGUAAAAGAUAUGAGAUGAUACAACUAAAUGAAGACUGAAGCUAAUAAAAUCAUUACCAUUUCUCAACUGUAAAGCUCGGGCAUCAAUAACUCUAGUCGGGAUAAAACUUGUCUUUCUUCAGGCAUUUUAUCAAACAGGUAACAGCAUAAUAAUGUUAUAUAUAUAUUUUUGAAGAAAGAAAGAGGAAAUUCAUAAAUACGUUUCUUAUUUCACAUGUUGCAGUGUAUAUUAAUUAUAGCACAAAAUUUACCCCUAUUUUAAUUUUAGAGCGAAAAAAAAUGGCAAAACUAUGAAUAAAAAUAGAAAAAAAAAGUUUUAAAUUUAUCUCACAAAAUUAUAUAAAGUGAUAAAUAUUUUUUUUAUACAAAAUUACUCCAUUGAAAAGAUGGAUGGAGUUGGACCAUACCAUAAAUACAUAUAAGAAACAAAAAUAUGUUCAGCAAGAAUUACCAGUUUAAGCUAAAAGAGUAGUUAGAGUUGGGAUGUCUUCUUCUCUGCCAAUUUCAAUAUUGAAAUUAAACUCUGGCUCUGAUUUUGUGGGUUUUUCCCCCAAGUCUUCUUCUGUUUACCUUUUAUCUCUUGUUUCUUCAGUUUGUUAUUUUGUCUACAUUUGUAUCAAAGUAUCCAUCUCAUCAUAUAUAUGUGCUUGGACAACUUAUAGUGAUAAAACCCAUAUAUCAUUUUAUAUACUCC
RNAcentral lists this long non-coding RNA (2123 nucleotides) under Panax ginseng (ginseng). RNAcentral describes it as "long non-coding RNA (PGIN_LNC013082)". The record is from RNAcentral. Lineage: Eukaryota; Viridiplantae; Streptophyta; Magnoliopsida; Apiales; Araliaceae.